Molecule: long non-coding RNA, 171 nt
Organism: Dermochelys coriacea (leatherback sea turtle)
Lineage: Eukaryota; Metazoa; Chordata; Testudines; Dermochelyidae
Exons: 3
Source: RefSeq, a predicted model, not a curated record
AGUUGUGGAAAAGAACUUCAGGGGCUGAUCUUGUUUGCAUAGGCACACCCACCCCGCCUAGCAUGAGCCUACAGCAGCCCAAAUGGCUGCUGUGGGAUCUCUGUUAUUUCUCUGUUAUUGGGGCAGGAAGAAUAAAGUGUUGUUACCCUGAUUAUGGGAAAUGUGCUUGGA